Molecule: long non-coding RNA, 493 nt
Organism: Micropterus dolomieu (smallmouth bass)
Lineage: Eukaryota; Metazoa; Chordata; Actinopteri; Centrarchiformes; Centrarchidae
Exons: 2
Source: RefSeq, a predicted model, not a curated record
UCCUAACGGCUCAUUUUUCCGGGGAAAUGAAAACACUCUCGUUGAGUCAUAUCAGUUCAGGUCCGUUAUAGCGGCUUCCCAGCGUUUACAUCCCCAAACUGAACAGCGUCAGGAGUGUGGACAGGAUCAAGUUAAGGGAAUGACCUGCGAAAUAAAGGAUGAGCCCUGAAACACCACAUCACCACAGCUGUACUCAUCUUGUGUCUUGUUGCUCUCAUUGACGAGGGGGGAUGAUAAAUUAUCGACGAUGGCGAGGAGAGCAACGGAUGAGGCAUGAUUGCUGCGCGCUCCCGAGCAGUACAGGCUCGUUCGCGGGUCAGACGCUCCGUGGCUGUGGGAGUGAACCGCAAUAAGAAAUAAUUCAUGGGGAAAAGGUCGGCAUUUUGACGGAGCGAGAACUGCUCCUGUAUGUUGCACAUUUGCUUUGAAUAAAACCAAGUCAUUUACUUCCUGCAACGUCUCAAUAAACACGGGGAAUUUAUUUGCAUUAAAG